Molecule: ribosomal RNA, 263 nt
Filed under: uncultured archaeon
Lineage: Archaea
Description: partial 16S ribosomal RNA
Rfam family: Archaeal small subunit ribosomal RNA
Source: RNAcentral
CAGCCGUAAACUAUGCGCGUUAGGUGUAUCGGUGACCACGAGUUACCGAGGUGCCGAAGGGAAACCGUGAAACGUGCCGCCUGGGAAGUACGGUCGCAAGGCUGAAACUUAAAGGAAUUGGCGGGGGGAGGCACCACAACGGGUGGAGCCUGCGGUUUAAUUGGACUCAACGCCGGGAAGCUCACCGGAUAAGACAGCGGAAUGAUUGCCGGGCUGAAGACUCUGCAUGACUAGCUGAGAGGAGGUGCAUGGCGUAGACGUCU